AACGAACGCUGGCGGCAUGGAUUAGGCAUGCAAGUCGAACGAUGAGAUGGAAGCUUGCUUCCGUCGAUUAGUGGCGAAAGGGUGAGUAACGCGUGAGUAAUCUGCCCCUAAGUUGGGAAUAGCCUCGGGAAACCGGGAUUAAUACCGAAUGUGGUCUCCCGUCGCAUGACGGGAAAACUAAAGAUUUAUCGCUUAGGGAUGAGCUCGCGUCCCAUUAGCUUGUUGGUAAGGUAACGGCUUACCAAGGCAACGAUGGGUAGCUGGUCUGAGAGGACGACCAGCCACACUGGGACUGAGACACUGCCCAGACUCCUACGGGAGGCUGCAGUCGAGAAUCUUCCGCAAUGGGCGAAAGCCUGACGGAGCAAUGCCGCGUGCAGGAUGAAGGCCUUUGGGUUGUAAACUGCUGUCACCAGGGAAGAAAUCAAUGACGGUAC
Molecule: ribosomal RNA, 437 nt
Filed under: uncultured Lentisphaera sp.
Lineage: Bacteria; Pseudomonadati; Lentisphaerota; Lentisphaeria; Lentisphaerales; Lentisphaeraceae
Description: bacterial SSU rRNA
Rfam family: Bacterial small subunit ribosomal RNA
Source: RNAcentral